GGAUGUGAUCAUACCCGCACUAAUGCACUGGAUCCUAUCAGAACUCCGCAGUUAAGUGUGCUUGGGCGAGAGUAGUAAUAGGAUGAGUGACCUCCCAGAAAGUCCUCGUGUUGAAUCCC
Arabidopsis thaliana (thale cress) is the source of this 119-nucleotide ribosomal RNA. The record is from Rfam. Lineage: Eukaryota; Viridiplantae; Streptophyta; Magnoliopsida; Brassicales; Brassicaceae.